GUGGCGGACGGGUGAGUAACGCGUGGGUAACCUGCCUCAUACAGGGGGAUAACGGUUAGAAAUGACUGCUAAUACCGCAUAAGCGCACAGUACCGCAUGGUACGGUGUGAAAAACUCCGGUGGUAUGAGAUGGACCCGCGUCUGAUUAGCUAGUUGGUGGGGUAACGGCCCACCAAGGCGACGAUCAGUAGCCGACCUGAGAGGGUGACCGGCCACAUUGGGACUGAGACACGGCCCAG
Molecule: ribosomal RNA, 239 nt
Filed under: uncultured bacterium
Lineage: Bacteria
Also listed under: 1 other name
Description: partial 16S ribosomal RNA
Rfam family: Bacterial small subunit ribosomal RNA
Source: RNAcentral